CUGACAGCCCUAGAGAUUGAAGUCCUCUGUUCACUACAGAACAGGUGCAGCCUAAGCAGCAGUGUUGCAAACUAUCCCCUGCUCCCAUCCCAACUGUAACCUGAAGGCAUCUCUCGGGUGUAAACAGGUGGCUCGCUCUCCAAAGCAUGAUUAUCCUUUUGCUUCC
RNAcentral lists this small RNA (166 nucleotides) under Chrysemys picta bellii (western painted turtle). Its description in RNAcentral is "TUC338 (ENSCPBG00000025947.1)". The record is from RNAcentral. Lineage: Eukaryota; Metazoa; Chordata; Testudines; Emydidae.